GGCCUUGUAGCUCAGACGGUAGAGCAUCGUUCUAGAAAUGCGAAGAUCGUGGGUUCGAUUCCCACCGGGGUCA
This 73-nucleotide transfer RNA is filed under the name Dendronephthya gigantea. RNAcentral describes it as "tRNA-Ser". It matches the Rfam family "tRNA". Rfam says of the family: Transfer RNA (tRNA) molecules are approximately 80 nucleotides in length. The record is from RNAcentral. Lineage: Eukaryota; Metazoa; Cnidaria; Anthozoa; Malacalcyonacea; Nephtheidae.